This 301-nucleotide ribosomal RNA is filed under the name uncultured bacterium. RNAcentral's name for it is "partial 16S ribosomal RNA". It matches the Rfam family "Bacterial small subunit ribosomal RNA", at positions 509 to 807 of the family's 1533-position model. The record is from RNAcentral.
CAGUCGCCGCGGUAAUACAGAGGAUGCAAGCGUUAUCCGGAAUGAUUGGGCGUAAAGCGCGCGCAGGUGGUUUAAUAAGUCUGAUGUGAAAGCCCACGGCUCAACCGUGGAGGAUCAUUGGAAACUGUUAAACUUGAGUGCAGGAGAGAAAAGUGGAAUUCCUAGUGUAGCGGUGAAAUGCGUAGAUAUUAGGAGGAACACCAGUGGCGAAGGCGGCUUUCUGGACGAAAACUGACGCUGAGGCGCGAAGGCCAGGGGAGCGAACGGGAUUAGAUACCCGCGUAGUCCCUGUCUCUUAUAC